Molecule: regulatory RNA element, 112 nt
Organism: Paenibacillus larvae subsp. larvae DSM 25430
Lineage: Bacteria; Bacillati; Bacillota; Bacilli; Caryophanales; Paenibacillaceae
Rfam family: azaaromatic riboswitch aptamer (yjdF RNA)
Source: Rfam
GAAGUGGAGUGUAAAAACACAGUCUGGUUGGUAGUCCUAGACACACGUCGUCAUGACCAAAGACGUGUCAGUAACCUUCCCCCUCGGGAUGUCCCUCACUACGGGAACUUCA